Molecule: ribosomal RNA, 466 nt
Filed under: uncultured bacterium
Lineage: Bacteria
Description: partial 16S ribosomal RNA
Rfam family: Bacterial small subunit ribosomal RNA
Source: RNAcentral
GAUGAACGCUGGCGGCGUGCUUAACACAUGCAAGUCGAACGGAAAGGCCCAAGCUUGCUUGGGUACUCGAGUGGCGAACGGGUGAGUAACACGUGGGUGAUCUGCCCUGCACUUCGGGAUAAGCCUGGGAAACUGGGUCUAAUACCGGAUAGGACCACAUUUUGGAUGGUGUGGUGGAAAGUUUUUCGGUGUGGGAUGAGCUCGCGGCCUAUCAGCUUGUUGGUGGGGUAAUGGCCUACCAAGGCGUCGACGGGUAGCCGGCCUGAGAGGGUGUACGGCCACAUUGGGACUGAGAUACGGCCCAGACUCCUACGGGAGGCAGCAGUGGGGAAUAUUGCACAAUGGGCGCAAGCCUGAUGCAGCGACGCCGCGGGGGGGAUGACGGCCUUAGGGUUGUAAACUCCUUUCGCUAGGGACGAAGCGUUAUGUGACGGUACCUGGAGAAGAAGCACCGGCUAACUACGUG